RNAcentral lists this unclassified non-coding RNA (148 nucleotides) under Ascomycota sp. Its description in RNAcentral is "partial internal transcribed spacer 1". The record is from RNAcentral. Lineage: Eukaryota; Fungi; Ascomycota.
ACCACCGUUCGGUCGAUCGCGAAGAAAGCGAUCACCAAUCCGCAUGUCCUCAACGAAGCGUCCGAUUACGACAAGCCGAGUUCGUUCUCGCGCGGCAUUCGGCUCGAUCUCGGUUCAGUUUCCGUUCUUCUCAUUUCCGGAACCGCCA